AUGCAGGAGCGCUCCAUGGACUCUCGGCUGCCCUCUGUUUAUGGGAGUACCCUUCCCUUGGAUUGCAAGAUAUCCCUGAUUGAUAUUGGGCUGGUGAUAGAGUACCUCCUUGGCGGAGCUUACCAGAGUAGCUACACAAGGAAACAUUUCAGAAUCCUGUAGAACAAUCUCUACAGAAAACACAAGGUAACAUCUGCAAAAUGGCUACUGCUGGUCACCAAGGAAAGCCAAAAUGUGACACCUAAAAAUAGCUCAGGUUAUCAUUGUGAUUUAACUGAAAAGUGUUGGUUAAAUGUAUUCCAUGCUUAGUCUGUUUUGUGGAUCUCUUAGUCAGCUGUGAUAACUUUGCAGAUAAAAUGGACAAAUCCCUCCCAAACUACCCCCCCCCCCCCAACCCCGGUGACCGUUAAAUUAACUAUUAUUAGUUCAUCAGACUCCCCUUUGUGUCUGAUAGACAGGUUGCAUUCUUUUCUCUGGCAUUCAUCAAUAAAAACCUUCAAGGCUGUACCA
Molecule: long non-coding RNA, 510 nt
Filed under: Struthio camelus australis
Lineage: Eukaryota; Metazoa; Chordata; Aves; Struthioniformes; Struthionidae
Description: lncRNA (ENSSCUG00000012185.1)
Source: RNAcentral